This 460-nucleotide ribosomal RNA is filed under the name uncultured bacterium. RNAcentral describes it as "partial 16S ribosomal RNA". It matches the Rfam family "Bacterial small subunit ribosomal RNA", at positions 338 to 795 of the family's 1533-position model. The record is from RNAcentral.
CCUACGGGUGGCAGCAGUGAGGAAUAUUGGUCAAUGGACGAGAGUCUGAACCAGCCAAGUAGCGUGAAGGAUGACUGCCCUAUGGGUUGUAAACUUCUUUUAUAUGGGAAUAAAAUGUUCCACGUGUGGGAUUUUGUAUGUACCAUAUGAAUAAGGAUCGGCUAACUCCGUGCCAGCAGCCGCGGUAAUACGGAGGAUCCGAGCGUUAUCCGGAUUUAUUGGGUUUAAAGGGAGCGUAGGUGGAUUGUUAAGUCAGUUGUGAAAGUUUGCGGCUCAACCGUAAAGUUGCAGUUGAAACUGGCAGUCUUGAGUACAGUAGAGGUGGGCGGAAUUCGUGGUGUAGCGGUGAAAUGCUUAGAUAUCACGAAGAACUCCGAUUGCGAAGGCAGUUCACUGGACUGCAACUGACACUGAGGCUCGAAAGUGUGGGUAUCAAACAGGAUUAGAUACCCGAGUAGUC